GUCCACGCCGUAAACGGUGGGUGCUAGGUGUAGGGGGUAUUCCACGCCCUCUGUGCCGCAGCUAACGCAUUAAGCACCCCGCCUGGGGAGUACGGCCGCAAGGCUAAAACUCAAAGGAAUUGACGGGGGCCCGCACAAGCAGCGGAGCAUGUGGCUUAAUUCGACGCAACGCGAAGAACCUUACCAAGGCUUGACAUACACCGAAAACUCAUAGAGAUAUGGGGUCCGCAAGGGCGGUGUACAGGUGGUGCAUGGUUGUCGU
This 262-nucleotide ribosomal RNA is filed under the name uncultured bacterium. Its description in RNAcentral is "partial 16S ribosomal RNA". It matches the Rfam family "Bacterial small subunit ribosomal RNA", at positions 793 to 1055 of the family's 1533-position model. The record is from RNAcentral.